UCAGCUCUAGUUAAUUUACAAGUAUUUUGAUUUAAUAUCUGGAAAUAAAAGCAACUAUACUGCAUUGUGUUGAGAUCUGUAUUAAUAUGAAUCAUUCUAUCUUGGCAAGAUUUCUAGAAAUUGCCCAUGUUCACGUUUGGCUGUGAACAUUUUAAGAGAAACACAUUUGACUUAGUAACAUAGAAAAUAGGUGCA
Amblyraja radiata (thorny skate) is the source of this 195-nucleotide long non-coding RNA. RefSeq lists it as uncharacterized. The transcript has 3 exons. NCBI's taxonomy places the organism in Eukaryota, Metazoa, Chordata, Chondrichthyes, Rajiformes, Rajidae. The record is from RefSeq and is a predicted model, not a curated record.